UAACGAGCGCAACCCCUACCUUUAGUUGCCAUCAGGUUAAGCUGGGGACUCUAAAGGAACUGCCUACGCAAGUAGUGAGGAAGGCGGGGAGUGACGUCAAAUCAGCACGGCCCUUACGUCCAGGGCUACACACGUGCUACAAUGGCCGAUACAGAGGGCAGCUACCUGGUGACAGGAUGCAAAUCUCCAAAGUCGGUCUCAGUUCGGAUCGGAGUCUGCAACCCGACUCCGUGAAGUUGGAUUCGCUAGUAAUCGCGCAUCAGCCAUGGCGCGGUGAAUACGUUCCCGGGCCUU
This 294-nucleotide ribosomal RNA is filed under the name uncultured Sphingobacteriales bacterium. RNAcentral's name for it is "partial 16S ribosomal RNA". It matches the Rfam family "Bacterial small subunit ribosomal RNA", at positions 1090 to 1382 of the family's 1533-position model. Lineage: Bacteria; Pseudomonadati; Bacteroidota; Sphingobacteriia; Sphingobacteriales. The record is from RNAcentral.